GAUGAACGCUGGCGGCGUGCCUAAUACAUGCAAGUCGAGCGAACAGACGAGGAGCUUGCUCCUUCGACGUUAGCGGCGGACGGGUGAGUAACACGUAGGUAACCUACCUAUAAGACUGGGAUAACUUCGGGAAACCGGAGCUAAUACCGGAUAAUAUUUCGAACCGCAUGGUUCGAUAGUGAAAGAUGGCUUUGCUAUCACUUAUAGAUGGACCUGCGCCGUAUUAGCUAGUUGGUAAGGUAACGGCUUACCAAGGCAACGAUACGUAGCCGACCUGAGAGGGUGAUCGGCCACACUGGAACUGAGACACGGUCCAGACUCCUACGGGAGGCAGCAGUAGGGAAUCUUCCGCAAUGGGCGAAAGCCUGACGGAGCAACGCCGCGCGAGUGAUGAAGGUCUUCGGAUCGUAAAACUCUGUUAUUAGGGAAGAACAAACGUGUAAGUAACUGUGCACGUCUUGACGGUACCUAAUCAGAAAGCCACGGCUAACUACGUG
RNAcentral lists this ribosomal RNA (497 nucleotides) under uncultured bacterium. RNAcentral's name for it is "partial 16S ribosomal RNA". It matches the Rfam family "Bacterial small subunit ribosomal RNA", at positions 28 to 507 of the family's 1533-position model. The record is from RNAcentral.